Molecule: long non-coding RNA, 231 nt
Filed under: Elaeis guineensis (African oil palm)
Lineage: Eukaryota; Viridiplantae; Streptophyta; Magnoliopsida; Arecales; Arecaceae
Description: long non-coding RNA (EGUI_LNC062607)
Source: RNAcentral
CGCUCCGGCAACCUGCCGAUGUGCCCGCCGCCUUCGGACUUUUCUUCCUGUCGACUCGCCAUUGAUUGCUACUUGGCUUUCAGAGGGAACAAGCUUCAGUUAACGAGGGAAGGAACGAAGGAAGAGAGGCCUUGGGUAGGAAAAGAAUUAUUGGUUGGAUCAAGUACGCAGUCGACCGCUAAUAAUCUUUCCUUGGGUAGAGCCUAAAGAAUGAUUGACUUCGACGAAGAC